This is a non-coding RNA of Lolium perenne, 1742 nucleotides long. Lineage: Eukaryota; Viridiplantae; Streptophyta; Magnoliopsida; Poales; Poaceae. The record is from RefSeq and is a predicted model, not a curated record.
CUUUGGUUUUGUUUAUUCUGAAAUAAUUGCAUGUGUGAUGUAAGGACUAAUGGGAUACAUGUGGUGAUUUCAGGCUAAAGAAGCUACAGAAUCAGCUUUUAAGGAUGGAAAACAGCUAUUGAUAUGAUGCCAUUGGCCAGCAUGCAGUUCCAGUACCUUAUGGUUGAGGAAAAGUUAUAUAGAGAUCUAUCCAGAUAUGAUGCCACUGCAAAUGCUCAUGUGCAAAAUUUACACUGUUUCGCAUUGCACUAUCAUCAUUGUCACUCCAUGAGUAUUAGUUGAGGAAACUGGGGUUUGGAACUCUAGCAGAGCAACUGAAGAAAAGUGGUGUUUCAGCUUUAGUUGUAUUCUACAAGAGUUUGGGUGGGUAAAUUUGGCUUUCCUUUCUUGUCCCUGUGAAGCCCCUUCGAUGCCACGUCUUCCAUUAUCUGCCAGCGCAACCUCGGGCUCCCCUCGUUGCCUGUGUACCUCUGCCUCUUGCCAAAUGAUACAAAGUGGGUAAUUCUUCGACGAUCAUAGUAAUACCAAGUGGCUAUAUGCUUUUUAUCUGUUAAACAUGUUUUAAGAGAAGAUUCAGGCGACGGUUGGAGGACUAGGGAAAGCGGUGCUCAUGAAGGGGACAGCAACAACGAUGGCCAUGGGGAAAGGGAGAGAGGCCAGUUGGAGACAACGACGACGACGGUGGCCGAAUCGGAGCACAUCACCAUCUCCUUCCUCCUGCAUCUUCCCACGUGAGUUCCUUUUUCCAAUAUCUUCCUCCGAUUUGGUUUCUUUUCUUUUUCCCUAUAAGGUUUGGGGUGUAGCCUGUAGAUUCUAACACCGAUGUGGGAGAGAGGCCACACACCUCCGCUGCACGGCUUCGAGCCCUGGCGUUGACUGUGGAGAUCGAAGGCGAGCCUCCAUCUUCGUUUUUCCACCCGCCAAACUGAGGCGGACCUGCAAGCAUGAGCUGCUUCUGCUGAUUCGAUUAUUCCACAUGCCUGGAAGCUCCACCAUCGGCUGAUCUUCAAGCUCUGUGCGAUGCAGUCCCCUCAUCUGCUCGUCUACGUCUGCUCGAGUUUCUCCAAUCUUGAUUUCUGAUUUGAGCAUGAAGUGUGGAGAUGGAUCCUGGAAGAUUCAUUGGUAAGCACGAAAGCCUGUAGGACCAAAAUAUUGGUUUGUGAUUCCAUUAUGGAAACUUUGGAGAUGGAGGUAUGAAAAGAUUCAUCAUGACAGAUAAUUAUCUUGACACAUUAUUUAGAUAGUACUAUCCUUUUCUUGUCUAUUUUUCCAUUUACACAAAUAAAGGUUUUAAAGAUAGUAGAAUUUUUUGGUAUUUCUGGAGUUACAUAUUCUGCUCCGUUUAUUCUCCGGGACUAAGAUGUAAUAGGAAUUAUUAUACCCUGUUGGUGCUUUGGUCUUAUUAUAUCCACCUACAAAAUAGGAAUUUAAAAAAACAUCACUACUUAAUGGGAAUUACAUGACUUAGAAAGUAUCUUGAUGUGAUAUUAGGUACUUCAGAAUGAACAUUUUCAUAUUUAGUAGAAUAUGGAGGCAUCCUAAUAUUUGUUGUGCCGGUGAUCUGAUCUGCCGGUGUCCUUAGCGCCCUACUUUGGGUUCUCAGUUAUCAUGAUGUCUAAGUACGAUUUUAUUAUGUUCAGCCGUAUAAAUCUUGGAAUCAAGAAGCAUAAUGUUUUAAUUUAAGAGGGCAUGGGUGCAUGACAUGUGUAUUCCUGAUUACAGGGUGUCGUCAAUAAUAUCAU